GGCACCAAACAUCAGAGCUAGAAAAGUAAUCUCCUUCCUUAUUCCUGCAACACGCCUCCAGACGAACGCCAGUUUGUAGAAAAGUCAAUUGCUCUGACAAAUGAGCUCGAAUAAGCAACCGCCCAACAACCCAGGACACCAGGUUUCGAUCCCUUUGGUCCAACAACCAACGACCAUUAUUGUUACGCAGCCAUCCAAUGACGUGCCUCGACAUUAUUCAGCUCUGAGAUGCCUGCCUCACCACUCAACGGUCUCGACCUGUUCGAAUUGCGCCAAGUUGGUUUCUACGCGCGUAGUUCACAGGUCCAACUGCAUGACUCACUGUUUUGCAUUUUGUCUCUGCAUGAGCCUGUGCUGGCCUUGCAUUUGCUUCCCUUACUGCAAUAAUAACUGCAAGACGACCAGCCACUACUGCAUCUACUGCGACAGUUACCUGGGAGACUCUUCUAAUCCUUAAUUCGGACUCAAGAGUUUUAAUGCAAGACAACGUAUUUGAGGAAAAAUGUUCUUAAAAAUGAGUUAUUUACUUGUUACGAAAUAUUUAAUGCAUGGAAAAAAUAUUAUAAAAUUAUUCAACAAUAAAUUUAUUAUAUUAUGCCAUGAAAUACAAUUUACAGAGACGUGCUUGCAAA
Long non-coding RNA from Cloeon dipterum, 632 nucleotides. RefSeq lists it as uncharacterized. The record is from RefSeq and is a predicted model, not a curated record. The transcript has 3 exons. NCBI's taxonomy places the organism in Eukaryota, Metazoa, Arthropoda, Insecta, Ephemeroptera, Baetidae.